CAGUAGCCGCGGUAAUACGGAGGGAGCUAGCGUUAUUCGGAAUUACUGGGCGUAAAGCGCACGUAGGCGGCUUUGUAAGUUAGAGGUGAAAGCCUGGAGCUCAACUCCAGAAUUGCCUUUAAGACUGCAUCGCUUGAAUCCAGGAGAGGUGAGUGGAAUUCCGAGUGUAGAGGUGAAAUUCGUAGAUAUUCGGAAGAACACCAGUGGCGAAGGCGGCUCACUGGACUGGUAUUGACGCUGAGGUGCGAAAGCGUGGGGAGCAAACAGGGUUAGAUACCCCAGUAGUCCCUGUCUCUUAUAC
This 301-nucleotide ribosomal RNA is filed under the name uncultured bacterium. RNAcentral describes it as "partial 16S ribosomal RNA". It matches the Rfam family "Bacterial small subunit ribosomal RNA", at positions 509 to 807 of the family's 1533-position model. The record is from RNAcentral.